GGUGCAAGUUGCGAGACCUGAGAGGCUGCCGCGCGCAUUUAUAGUUGUAGACAUCUCGUAUUAUAUAAAAAUAUAUCAUUAUAUGAUUUGUAAUUAUAUUAUUAAAAUGGUACAUACUAUUUGGGCUGUGAAAGAUUGCCAAUCUUCAUCUAGUGGUAUUCAACUUUUUUUACAAUGUUGUACUACUUUGUUGCAUGAUUUCUUUUUAUGGUGUAAUACUGCAAUAACGAGUGGGCCAGUAUAGUAAAGCAGCAGUGGCAGCUUGUAGAAAAGCAGUACAAGAGAAUAACACUGAAGCUCUUAUUAAAAUAUUACAAGUUGGAGAUGCAUAAAAAAAAA
Molecule: unclassified non-coding RNA, 339 nt
Filed under: Zerene cesonia (dogface butterfly)
Lineage: Eukaryota; Metazoa; Arthropoda; Insecta; Lepidoptera; Pieridae
Description: bardet-Biedl syndrome 2 protein-like, transcript variant X1
Source: RNAcentral